RNAcentral lists this ribosomal RNA (501 nucleotides) under uncultured bacterium. RNAcentral's name for it is "partial 16S ribosomal RNA". It matches the Rfam family "Bacterial small subunit ribosomal RNA", at positions 30 to 523 of the family's 1533-position model. The record is from RNAcentral.
AUUGAACGCUGGCGGCAGGCUUAACACAUGCAAGUCGAGCGGGGGAAGGUAGCUUGCUACCGGACCUAGCGGCGGACGGGUGAGUAAUGCUUAGGAAUCUGCCUAUUAGUGGGGGACAACAUCUCGAAAGGGAUGCUAAUACCGCAUACGUCCUACGGGAGAAAGCAGGGGAUCUUCGGACCUUGCGCUAAUAGAUGAGCCUAAGUCGGAUUAGCUAGUUGGUGGGGUAAAGGCCUACCAAGGCGACGAUCUGUAGCGGGUCUGAGAGGAUGAUCCGCCACACUGGGACUGCGACACGGCCCAGACUCCUACGGGAGGCAGCAGUGGGGAAUAUUGGACAAUGGGGGGAACCCUGAUCCAGCCAUGCCGGGUGUGUGAAGAAGGCCUUAUGGGUGUAAAGCACUUUAAGCGAGGAGGAGGCUACUCUAGUUAAUACCUAGGGAUAGUGGACGUUACUCGCAGAAUAAGCACCGGCUAACUCUGUGCCAGCAGCCGCCGUAA